AUUGAACGCUGGCGGCAGGCCUAACACAUGCAAGUCGAACGAGUGGCGGACGGGUGAGAAAUGUCUGGGAAACUGCCUGAUGGAGGGGGAUAACUACUGGAACCGGUAGCUAAAACCGAAUUCCAUCGGAUGUGGCAAUAUGGGAGUAGCUAGUAGGGGGGGUAAAGGCUCGCCUAGGCGACGAUCCCUAGCUGGUCUGAGAGGAUGACCAGCCACACUGGAACUGCGACACGGUCCAGACUCCUACGGUAGGCAGCAGUGGGGAAUAUUGCACAAUGGGCGCAAGCCUGAUGCAGCCAUGCCGCGUGUAUGAAGAAGGCCUUCGGGUUGUAAAGUACUUUCAGCGGGGAGGCGUUACCCGCAGAAGAAGCACCGGCUAACUCCGUGCCAGCAGCCGCGGUAAUAC
RNAcentral lists this ribosomal RNA (406 nucleotides) under uncultured bacterium. Its description in RNAcentral is "partial 16S ribosomal RNA". It matches the Rfam family "Bacterial small subunit ribosomal RNA", at positions 30 to 526 of the family's 1533-position model. The record is from RNAcentral.